GUACAAAAGUGAGUGAGUUUACAUUAAGCUUUCUGCCCAUAUAAGACACUUAAGUUCUUGAGGAACUGCAAUUCCUAACUGCAUUGUCCAAUUUACAGUAGCUAUUACAGCGAAAAAAUGCCAUGCUAUUGUUUGAGGAGAGUGCAGAACAACAAAACACUUUUUUCACUGCAACAGGUUUGAUACAUUCACGUAUGAAGGUAAAAUAUUUACUUACAUUCUGAAAUCUUGCUCUGAUUUGUCAUCCUAAGGGUCCCAGAGAUAACAUGUAGUGUCGUUGUUUUAGAUAAAAUCCUUUAUCAUAUCCUAAAACGGUCCAUAUAGUAUGCACAAUCUAAAUUGUAUUUCCACUUGUUCAACUUGCAAAGAAAGAAAUCUGAGAAAAUUCAAACGCUAAACGUUAUUUCAACCAGUCAAAUUACAUUCGUAUUUAUCCCUCACAAGUGAAAAAGUAACCAACCUUUGCUAGAUCAGUCUGCAUUCAGUCAAUCCACUGGGAAACCAAUUUUAGCUAGGAAGGCAUCAUGGCCAUAUGGCAUCAUUGCGUGCCGAUGACACGGGCUGUGUUCCCUUGAUUGACUGUAUCUUUGUCAAAUGACCACCUAUCAUUUUGAAACCAAGCUAGCUAGAUAGCCAAUGCGCUGUGCUUUAUGAGAGUAUGUGGAAACCCUUUGUCCAUUGCACAAACUUUCAGCUAACCUAGCGCGCCAGGAGGCUAGUUCUGUUUGGACAUUUAUGCGUAACCCGCUUCGACAUAUUCUUGCAUAUCUGUGAGUUAUGAAAACGAAGUGUUUUGCAAAUGUUGAACUUACAAUAUGGCUACUUUUACUGGAAAAGCUAAAUGAAAGUCCAGGUAUACAGAUUUUGGACGAUAUUCUAGCAGAAAUCUACCGGGAAAGUGUCAUAGACAACAGCUAAAGGAGAGGACGCGAACAUUACCGUAAACUGACCGACUUCAAAGAGACCACAGUCAAGUCCUCCAUCCCCCACUUAGUCUGAUUGCUGCUCUCUCUGGCUCCACAACAAACCCCCGCCCGGCCAUCUAGAGGUGUGAAUACCCAGCCAGCCUACAAGUGGAGGAUGGCUGCAAUCCACUCCCAGUUAGACUAGGUCUGUUCAGGCCCUGGGGGACGUGAAGGACACCCAGAACUCCUUGGAAAAAGCAUCAACACCAUUGACGACGUGAAAUAUGCUGGGAUGCAACACAGUCCGUUGGCUCAGCUGUGGAGAACCUGAAGAAUAUCUUCUCAGAUGGUGGCAGACACUCGGUUAAUGAUAAAGCAAGCUGAACUGCUGGAGAACCACUACAGUCUGAUGAACCUGGAGUGCUCAUGGAAUGAUCUCAUGUACGGCAUGGGCAGCAAGAACACGCACAUGAACCUCAUUCGAAAAUAUACUGAAGAAAAAUAGAAACGCAACAUGCAACAAUUUUAAAGAUUUGACUGAGUUUACUGAGUCAUAUGAGGAAAUCAGUCCAUUGAAAGAUAUUCAUUAGUCCCUAACCUAUGGGAUUUCACAUGACUGGGAAUACAGCUAUGCAUCUUUUGGUCACAGAUACCUUUAAAAAAAGGUAGGGGCAUGGAUCAGAA
Salvelinus namaycush (lake trout) is the source of this 1589-nucleotide long non-coding RNA. RefSeq lists it as uncharacterized. The record is from RefSeq and is a predicted model, not a curated record. Lineage: Eukaryota; Metazoa; Chordata; Actinopteri; Salmoniformes; Salmonidae. The transcript has 4 exons.